CGCUAUCACUCCUACGGGAGGCAGCAGUGGGGAAUAUUGCACAAUGGGGGAAACCCUGAUGCAGCCAUGCCGCGUGUGUGAAGAAGGCCUUCGGGUUGUAAAGCACUUUCAGUAGGGAGGAAGGUAGUGUAGUUAACACCUGCACUAUUUGACGUUACCUACAGAAGAAGCACCGGCUAACUCCGUGCCAGCAGCCGCGGUAAUACGGAGGGUGCGAGCGUUAAUCGGAAUUACUGUGCGUAAAGCGCAUGCAGGCGGCCUGUUAAGUCAGAUGUGAAAGCCCGGGGCUUAACCUCGGAAUUGCAUUUGAAACUGGCAGGCUAGAGUCUUGUAGAGGGGGUAGAAUUUCAGGUGUAGCGGUGAAAUGCGUAGAGAUCUGAAGGAAUACCAGUGGCGAAGGCGGCCCCCUGGACAAAGACUGACGCUCAGAUGCGAAAGCGUGGGGAGCAAACAGGAUUAGAUACCCUGGUAG
Molecule: ribosomal RNA, 472 nt
Filed under: uncultured bacterium
Lineage: Bacteria
Description: bacterial SSU rRNA
Rfam family: Bacterial small subunit ribosomal RNA
Source: RNAcentral